This 824-nucleotide unclassified non-coding RNA is filed under the name Hevea brasiliensis (rubber tree). The record is from RNAcentral. Lineage: Eukaryota; Viridiplantae; Streptophyta; Magnoliopsida; Malpighiales; Euphorbiaceae.
CGCAUAUUUUCUUCCUUCAUAUUUCUAUCCAUCAAACUUCCAACAAAAGAAGUUGAAAAAUAGCAGAAUCCUACCUUAUUAAGAUGCAGUUGCCCUGGACUCUUGAAUGUCCAAUUCAUGUUCUGCUACCAUAAUACAGGAAUCUGCUUCAAGAGAUGAAGCUGAGCUCUUAUUCUUCAACAAUGAAUCCUUGGGUGAAUUGAGCAUGUCUGUUGUGCACUGCACAUCAGGCAUUAUCCCAACCUGAUCUAUGUCAUGAAGUGCAGGUGAUAGAUACUNUGCAACUGUGAUAAAUAGAGCUGAUCCAUCAUGCAACUCUGUUACACUCUGGAUUUUUCCUUUGCCAAAGGUUUUGUGCCCCACAAGGAUAGCUCGACCAUUGUCAUGCAGUGCUCCAGCUAAAAUCUCACUUGCGCUUGCACUUCCCUCGUUGAUGAGCACAACAAGUGGAUCAUGUGUUAUGGCAUGCCCAUCCACCAUAUUAAUGGGGAGCAUAUUUCCAUCUCUGUCAAUGGUGUUCACAAGAGUCUCAUCCCCAUCCAGCCAUAUUUGGGCAACAUCAAGUCCUGCUUUUACCAGACCCCCUGGGUUGUUCCUUAAAUCCAGAAUGUAUGAAUGUACACCUUGUGUUUCCAUUUCAUGUAUUGCAUUUGCCAUAUCAGCAGCAGCACUCUGAGAGAAAUUUGACAGCUUCACAUAACCGGUCUUUAUUUGACGGCCAUCUGGUGUUCUAUGUGGGAUGAUAGAGCUGGCUAUUGGGGAUAGCUUAAUGUACUCACGAGGCAAUUUGACCUCUUUGGUACUACAAUCACUUUUCGAAUCUU